Molecule: ribosomal RNA, 493 nt
Filed under: uncultured bacterium
Lineage: Bacteria
Description: partial 16S ribosomal RNA
Rfam family: Bacterial small subunit ribosomal RNA
Source: RNAcentral
AUUGAACGCUGGCGGCAUGCCUUACACAUGCAAGUCGAACGGUAACAGGUUAAGCUGACGAGUGGCGAACGGGUGAGUAAUAUAUCGGAACGUGCCCAGUCGUGGGGGAUCACUGCUCGAAAGAGAAGCUAAUACCGCAUACGACCUGAGGGUGAAAGCGGGGGAUCGCAAGACCUCGCGCGAUUGGAGCGGCCGAUAUCAGAUUAGGUAGUUGGUGGGGUAAGAGCCCAACAAGCCAACGAUCUGUGGCUGGUCGGAGAGGACGACCAGCCACACUGGGACUGAGGAACGGCCCAGACUCCUAAGGUAGGCAGGAGUGGGGAAUUUUGGACAAUGGGCGCAAGCGUGAUCCGGCCAAGCCGCGUGCGGGAAGAAGGCCUUAGGGUUGUAAAGCGCUUUUGUCAGUGAAGAAAAGGUUCUGGUUAAUACCUGGGACUCAUGACGGUACCUGAAGAAUAAGCACCGGCUAACUACGUGCCAGCCGCCGCCGUAA